This 119-nucleotide ribosomal RNA is filed under the name Triticum aestivum (bread wheat). RNAcentral also lists the same sequence under 1 other name. Lineage: Eukaryota; Viridiplantae; Streptophyta; Magnoliopsida; Poales; Poaceae. The record is from RNAcentral.
GGAUGCGAUCAUACCAGCACUAAAGCACCGGAUCCUAUCAGAACUCCGAAGUUACGCGUGCUUGGGAGAGAGUAGUACUAGGAUGGGUGACCUCCUGGGAAGUCCUCGUGUUGCAUUCC